This 834-nucleotide ribosomal RNA is filed under the name marine metagenome. RNAcentral describes it as "bacterial SSU rRNA". It matches the Rfam family "Bacterial small subunit ribosomal RNA", at positions 144 to 1010 of the family's 1533-position model. The record is from RNAcentral.
UAACACGAGGAAACUUGUGCUAAUACCUCAUAAGUCUUUACGGAGAAAGCUUUAUGCGCCAAUGGAUGAGCCCGCACUUGAUUAGUUUGUUGGUGGGGUAAUGGCCUACCAAGACUUUGAUCAAUAGCUGAUCUGAGAGGAUGAUCAGCCACAUUGGGACUGAGACACGGCCCAAACUCCUACGGGAGGCAGCAGUAGGGAAUAUUGCACAAUGGAGGAAACUCUGAUGCAGCGAUGCCGCGUGAGUGAAGAAGGCCCUUGGGUUGUAAAGCUCUUUCGUCGGGGAAGAAAAUGACUGUACCCGAAUAAGAAGGUCCGGCUAACUUCGUGCCAGCAGCCGCGGUAAUACGAAGGGACCUAGCGUAGUUCGGAAUUACUGGGCUUAAAGAGUUCGUAGGUGGUUGAAAAAGUUGGUUGUGAAAUCCCGGAGCUUAACUCCGGAACUGCAAUCAAAACUUUUUAGCUAGAGUAUGAUAGAGGAAAGCAGAAUUUCUAGUGUAGAGGUGAAAUUCGUAGAUAUUAGAAAGAAUACCAAUUGCGAAGGCAGCUUUCUGGAUCAUUACUGACGCUGAGGAACGAAAGCAUGGGUAGCGAAGAGGAUUAGAUACCCUCGUAGUCCAUGCUGUAAACGAUGUGUGUUAGACUGUUGGAAAUUUAUUUUCAGUGUCGCAGCGAAAGCAGUAAACACACCGCCUGGGGAGUACGACCGCAAGGUUAAAACUCAAAUGAAUUGACGGGGACCCGACACAAGUAGUGGAGCAUGUGGUUUAAUUCGAAGAUACGCGCAGAACCUUACCAACACUUGACAUGUUCGUCGCGACUUUAAGAGAUUAA